Loxodonta africana (African savanna elephant) is the source of this 1523-nucleotide long non-coding RNA. RefSeq lists it as uncharacterized. The record is from RefSeq and is a predicted model, not a curated record. NCBI's taxonomy places the organism in Eukaryota, Metazoa, Chordata, Mammalia, Proboscidea, Elephantidae. The transcript has 3 exons.
CCUGCUCGUGGCUCUGCCCCUUGAAACUUUUUUUUUUUUUCUCUUUUGCAACUGCUGAUUUCUAAAAUAUAAAUCUGACCAUGUGACUCCCUGUCUCUUAAGCCCUUCCAUGGCUCCCCACCAGCCUCGGAAUAAAGCCCAAGUUCAAGUUCAGCAGCCUGGCCGACAAGGUGGUGGUUUGGCUCUGCUCUGUCUUCAUUCUUGUCUUCCCCACCAGACAGCAAAUUCCCUGAGAGCGAAGACCACGCCGUAGUGCUCCUGCUUAUAUCCCUGGAUAUAACCGAAGAGUAUGGCUGCACCAAGGUGUCUUCCCCCAGCAAACCCACCUGGGCUUCUCUCAGGAAGACAAGGACAAUGCAGCCUCUCCUCAGCAAGCCAGAGAAUAGGCAGGGACGCAUGUCAUCGCCAGGCCUGCUGGACAGCUUCAAGGGGAGGAGAGGCCUCAACCCCCACUCAGCACAUAGCCGAAUCCGGAGAUCUGCUGGGUGUCCACCCCCGCCUUCCACCCGCCUCCGCAUCCUGCCCGGCCGAAAGCCUCCCGGAGAGACUUCUGGCUCCAGUCACCAUUCUGCCACCUACAUUUGUGUGAUGUGGACAAGGGACUCCCCUCUCUGCGCUCCGUGUUCCCAUCUGUGAAAUGUCUAUAAGGCUGCACGGAUGGAGCAGAGCGGAGCACGUAGAGAGGCUAUGGCCAGACGCCCACCAGAAUCACAGAAUGGAAAAGAUAGGAAAUACCAAGAGUGGGCAAGGACGCAAAGCAACUGGAACUCUUAUCCAUGGCUGCUGGGAGUCUGAAAUGGCAUGAUCGUUUUAGAAAACACAAGUUGGCGGAAUUGUCUAAAGCUGAACAUACGUGUCUACUAUGAUGCAGAAAUUCCACUCUUCGGUUUCUACUCGAGAGGGAGGAAAGUGUGCCUCCUCCGGAAAACACAUACCAAAGCACCCCUGGCAGCCCUGUUCAUAAGAUUCCCAAACUGGAAAUGCUCAGCUGCCCACCAGCAUGGAGGGGAUCCAUACCUCCAGGUGCGCUCACACAAUUGGGAGUCCCUGGGUGGUACAAUCCGUUAACACACUUGGCUGCUAACCAAAAGAUUGUCAAUUCGAGUCCACUCAGAGGCACCUUGGAAGAAAGGCCUGGUGAUCUCCAAAAAGUCAAAGCCAUUGAAAAGCAUAUGGUCUCCAUGAGUCAGGGUCAACUCCAUGGCAGCUGGUUUGGAUGGUUUCACACAAGUGAAUUCUACAGAGCAGGAAAAAUAGAUGGUGUACAGCCACAUGCAACAACAUGAAUGCCUCUCAGAAAUGUAACUUUGAGGCAGAGAAGUCAGAGACAAAAGAUUACACACAUAUGACCCCCCUUUUUUUGUGCUUUAGAAGAAGGCUUAAAGAGCAAAUUAGUUUCUCAUUAAACAAUUAAUACAUAUACUGUUUUGUGCCACUGGUUGCCAACCCCACGACGUGUUAACGCUCUCCCUUUCUUGUCCAUGGGUUCCCCAUUACCAGCUUUCCUGUCCCCUCCUGACUUC